GCCAGACUCCUACGGGAGGCAGCAGUGAGGAAUAUUGGUCAAUGGGCGGAAGCCUGAACCAGCCAAGUCGCGUGAGGGAAGAAGGCCCUGCGGGUCGCAGACCUCUUUGGACGGGGAGCAAGGCCGCCGACGUGUCGGCGGAAGGAGAGUACCCGUAGAACAAGCAUCGGCUAACUACGUGCCAGCAGCCGCGGUAAUACGUAGGGGGCAAGCGUUAUCCGGAUUUACUGGGUGUAAAGGGAGCGUAGGCGGUUUAGCAAGUCAGAAGUGAAAGCCCGGGGCUCAACUCCGGGACUGCUUUUGAAACUGUUGAACUAGAUUGCAGGAGAGGUAAGUGGAAUUCCUAGUGUAGCGGUGAAAUGCGUAGAUAUUAGGAGGAACACCAGUGGCGAAGGCGGCUUACUGGACUGUAAAUGACGCUGAGGCUCGAAAGCGUGGGGAGCAAACAGGAUUAGAUACCCUGGUAC
Molecule: ribosomal RNA, 467 nt
Filed under: uncultured bacterium
Lineage: Bacteria
Description: partial 16S ribosomal RNA
Rfam family: Bacterial small subunit ribosomal RNA
Source: RNAcentral